UACGGGGGGUGCUAGCGUUGUUCGGAUUCACUGGGCGUAAAGGGCGUGUAGGCUGUCAGAUAAGUCUGGUGUGAAAGCCCUUGGCUUAACCAAGGAAUGUCGCUGGAAACUGUCUGGCUUGAGUACGAGAGAGGAGAGUGGAAUUCCCGGUGUAGAGGUGAAAUUCGUAGAUAUCGGGAGGAACACCAGUGGCGAAGGCGGCUCUCUGGAUCGAUACUGACGCUGAUACGCGAAAGCGUGGGGAG
Molecule: ribosomal RNA, 245 nt
Filed under: uncultured bacterium
Lineage: Bacteria
Description: partial 16S ribosomal RNA
Rfam family: Bacterial small subunit ribosomal RNA
Source: RNAcentral